AGAGUUUGAUCAUGGCUCAAAUUGAACGCUGGCGGCAUGCCUUACACAUGCAAGUCGAACGGCAGCACGGGGGCAACCCUGGUGGCGAGUGGCGAACGGGUGAGUAAUACAUCGGAACGUGUCCUGGAGUGGGGGAUAGCCCGGCGAAAGCCGGAUUAAUACCGCAUACGAUCUCUGGAUGAAAGCGGGGGACCGGCCUCGCGCUCAAGGGGCGGCCGAUGGCAGAUUAGCUAGUUGGUGGGGUAAAGGCCUACCAAGGCGACGAUCUGUAGCUGGUCUGAGAGGACGACCAGCCACACUGGGACUGAGACACGGCCCAGACUCCUACGGGAGGCAGCAGUGGGGAAUUUUGGACAAUGGGGGCAACCCUGAUCCAGCAAUGCCGCGUGUGUGAAGAAGGCCUUCGGGUUGUAAAGCACUUUUGUCCGGAAAGAAAACUUCCUGGUUAAUACCUGGGGAGGAUGACGGUACCGGAAGAAUAAGCACCGGCUAACUACGUGCCAGCAGCCGCGGUAAUACGUAGGGUGCAAGCGUUAAUCGGAA
RNAcentral lists this ribosomal RNA (543 nucleotides) under uncultured Nitrosospira sp. Its description in RNAcentral is "bacterial SSU rRNA". It matches the Rfam family "Bacterial small subunit ribosomal RNA", at positions 8 to 550 of the family's 1533-position model. Lineage: Bacteria; Pseudomonadati; Pseudomonadota; Betaproteobacteria; Nitrosomonadales; Nitrosomonadaceae. The record is from RNAcentral.